Molecule: ribosomal RNA, 713 nt
Filed under: uncultured archaeon
Lineage: Archaea
Description: bacterial SSU rRNA
Rfam family: Archaeal small subunit ribosomal RNA
Source: RNAcentral
GCGAGUCGAGCGUCUCUAGCUAUGUUGAGACGCGGCAGACGGCUCAGUAACACGUGGCUAACCUACCCUCAGGACAAGGAUAAACCCGGGAAACUGGGGCUAAUACUUGAUAGGCGAAGAUGCCUGGAAUGGUUUUUCACCUAAAGGGCUUUAGAAACAUGCUUCUAAAGUCGCCUGAGGAUGGGGCCGCGUCCGAUCAGGUUGUUGGUGAGGUAACGGCUCACCAUGCCUAUAACCGGUACGGGCCGUGAGAGCGGUAGCCCGGAGAUGGGUACUGAGACAAGGACCCAGGCCCUACGGGGCGCAGCAGUCGCGAAAACUCCGCAAUGCACGAAAGUGUGACGGGGCUACCCCGAGUGCCAUCCGCUGAGGAUGGCUUUUCUUUGGUGUAAUGAGCCAAAGGAAUAAGGGGAGGGCAAGACUGGUGUCAGCCGCCGCGGUAAUACCAGCUCCCCGAGUGGUAGGGACAAUUAUUGGGCUUAAAGCGUCCGUAGCCGGCCUGACAAGUCUUUCGUUAAAUCCAGCGACUUAAUCGUUGGGCUGCGGGAGAUACUAUCGGGCUAGGGGACGGGAGAGGCCGAUGGUAUUCUUGGGGUAGGGGUGAAAUCCUAUAAUCCCAGGAGGACCACCAGUGGCGAAGGCGAUCGGCUAAUACGCGCCUGACGGUGAGGGACGAAAGCUGGGGGAGCGAACCGGAUUAGAUACCCGCGUAG